Molecule: long non-coding RNA, 1543 nt
Filed under: Gouania willdenowi (blunt-snouted clingfish)
Lineage: Eukaryota; Metazoa; Chordata; Actinopteri; Blenniiformes; Gobiesocidae
Description: lncRNA (ENSGWIG00000004252.1)
Source: RNAcentral
UCAACAGGUAUUGUAUUCAAGCAUGCCGUCCAUGACUUCAGUCGUAAUACAUUUACGAUUAAAAACUAAGGAGGUGUGGUAAGGCAGGCAACAUUUUCCACAUGAACAAAGGCAGGAUGAGUGUUUGAAAUGUUGUACACCCAGUAAUUGAAGCUGUCACGCAUUCCGCAGGUGAACGCUUCCAGGUAUAAAAAGGCAAAGCGAUGCUCAUCUGGAUUAGUAUCACACCUGAGGAAAGCUGGUACUUUGAAGUCGUUCUGAUCAAGAUGAAGCUCAUUCUAUUUGUUCUUUUGUUGACUCUUUGCAGCACAGCUGCAGCAAUUGACUGUCAUUGCCAAUCAGCAGAAUGCGCUGGUCAGCCUAGCUGUUCCAGCUCAGAUAUGUGUUUUUCAGCGACCACAGAAGGUGGCACAAUCUAUAAGGGUUGUGCGAAACCAUCGCUGUGUCCAGCCGUAGGGACACAAAUAUACUCAGCAGACGAUGGAAAACACUUUGAAACUGUAACUGUUAUGUGCUGCGAUACAGAUAACUGCAACUCAGCUGAUUUAGCUUCACCAUACAAUCCUAGAGUUGAUACACUCAUCGAUUGUGAUUUCUGCAUCGCGGACACGUGUAACUUCACUGUACAUUGUAAGGGGAUGCAGAAUACAUGUUACCAAAUGAUUGCUGAUGGAAGCAAACAUAUGGGUUGUUCAACUACAAACAUGUGUGAUGCUCCUGAAGUCUACACAAAUCUACUCUUUCCCAAUAUCACCAUGAUCACCGAAGGACCAGAGUGUUGCCUCUCUUUUCCAUGUCCAACCACAACAACACCACCAAUAACAGAAUGGACAACAACAUCACAAUGGUCAGCAGCAGAAAACUAUACCACUGAAAAGUCAAUCAGUCACGAAGAUCUGCUGAUCAUCAUCCACGAACAGCUCCACCUGAUACAGGCGCAAUCGUUCCAACUCCAGAUGUUGCUCCAACCUCUGCUGCUUCUGAUUCAACACCUACUGCAUGUGAUUGGAUGUCUACCCCUCGCCGAACAAAUGCUUUUCCAGCCUAUCAUGUCCAUCAUACAGUACCUGUUGUACAUGAUACAGAUGAGCUGCACGGGGCAGCUUGUGUUAUUUUAGUAUCUCCAGUCAGGUCCCUGCUAACACCACAUUGUUAAAAAUUAAAGAUUGUUAAAGUUGAAAAACUCCUGGAUUUGCUGAAGUUCCCAUUUAUGUAAUUUGAACAAAUGUGUGGCCUUGUGAUAUCUGCUUAUAAUGUAACAUCAAACUACCCUUGAGCACCAGAUGACUACCAUGCUGCUCACUUUUUAUCUCUAUCUUUUCUUUGAUUGUGUGUAAUCAGUUGUUUUUAUUAAUUUAUUAGUUAUCACCUAACUCAGUCUCCUGAGUUUAUUUCUAGUGCUACUGUGUUCAUUUUUAAUCCACUCUGGUAAAAUGGUUUUAACAAUUUAUUUAAUCACUUUUACUUUUAUUGUUCAGCAUCACAACUAUGUAAUAUCAUUCAAUCUUUGCUGAAACAAUCAAUAAAGCUUAAUUUGAAGUCA